UCACUGGUGGUCUAGUGGAUAAGAAUUCGGCUUGCAGUGCUGGACUCUUGGGUUCAAUCCCCAGCUGGGGAA
RNAcentral lists this transfer RNA (72 nucleotides) under Bos taurus (domestic cattle). It matches the Rfam family "tRNA". Rfam says of the family: Transfer RNA (tRNA) molecules are approximately 80 nucleotides in length. Their secondary structure includes four short double-helical elements and three loops (D, anti-codon, and T loops). Further hydrogen bonds mediate the characteristic L-shaped molecular structure. tRNAs have two regions of fundamental functional importance: the anti-codon, which is responsible for specific mRNA codon recognition, and the 3' end, to which the tRNAs corresponding amino acid is attached (by aminoacyl-tRNA synthetases). tRNAs cope with the degeneracy of the genetic code in two manners: having more than one tRNA (with a specific anti-codon) for a particular amino acid; and 'wobble' base-pairing, i.e. permitting non-standard base-pairing at the 3rd anti-codon position. Lineage: Eukaryota; Metazoa; Chordata; Mammalia; Artiodactyla; Bovidae. RNAcentral also lists the same sequence under 2 other names. The record is from Rfam by way of RNAcentral.